GUGCAUUGUAGUUGCAUUGCAUGUGCACAAAGGAAGUGCAAUGUAACAGCAGUGCAGCU
Molecule: microRNA precursor, 59 nt
Filed under: Branchiostoma floridae (Florida lancelet)
Lineage: Eukaryota; Metazoa; Chordata; Leptocardii; Amphioxiformes; Branchiostomatidae
Description: Bfl-Mir-33-P7_pre stem-loop
Rfam family: mir-33 microRNA precursor family
Source: RNAcentral